UCCGAAGGGGGCUAGCGUUGUUCGGAAUUACUGGGCGUAAAGCGCACUUAGGCGGACUGGUAAGUUGGGGGUGAAAUCCCGGGGCUCAACCCCGGAAUUGCCUUCAAGACUGCAAGUCUGGAGGUCAGGAGAGGCGAGCGGAAUUCCGAGUGUAGAGGUGAAAUUCGUAGAUAUUCGGAGGAACACCAGUGGCGAAGGUGGCUCGCGGGACUGAUACUGACGAUGAUGAGCGAAAGCGUGGGGAGCAAACAGG
This 253-nucleotide ribosomal RNA is filed under the name uncultured bacterium. RNAcentral describes it as "partial 16S ribosomal RNA". It matches the Rfam family "Bacterial small subunit ribosomal RNA", at positions 524 to 776 of the family's 1533-position model. The record is from RNAcentral.